ACAAACUUGGUCAUUUAGAGGAAGUAAAAGUCGUAACAAGGUUUCCGUAGGUGAACCUGCGGAAGGAUCAUUAAACAGCGGGUGUUGUGCUAUUAGGUUGCUAUGCUUCCCUUAGGUUUGCUGCGUGUAUCGCGCCAGAGCCUGCCUGGAUCGUAAGCCUUUAUGGUUGGAAUCAAAGAAAUGGUUCCUGGACUUCGAGAGGAUGUUGCUACGUCUUCGAAGGCUGUGGUUGUGCUGGCUCCCUAAGCAUGGGGCAUUCUAUCUCGUAGCUGUAACAGCUCCCUGCUCUAAACCUGUGUUUAUUCGCACCUUUAUUGUUUCUUUGGUGAUUGUGGUUGCCAAAGGAAAGUUCUACCUAAACCUUUUGCAGUAUGAGCAUUUUUCUGAUAGGAAAGUCAAAUCUUUACAACUUUCAACAAUGGAUCUCUUGGUUCUGGAAUCGAUGAAGAACGCAGC
RNAcentral lists this unclassified non-coding RNA (456 nucleotides) under uncultured fungus. RNAcentral describes it as "partial contains small subunit ribosomal RNA, internal transcribed spacer 1, and 5.8S ribosomal RNA". The stretch from base 1 to 73 matches the Rfam family "Eukaryotic small subunit ribosomal RNA", at positions 1759 to 1831 of the family's 1831-position model. Lineage: Eukaryota; Fungi. The record is from RNAcentral.